RNAcentral lists this transfer RNA (83 nucleotides) under Aureispira sp. CCB-E. RNAcentral's name for it is "tRNA-Ser". It matches the Rfam family "tRNA". From Rfam's summary of the family: Transfer RNA (tRNA) molecules are approximately 80 nucleotides in length. Their secondary structure includes four short double-helical elements and three loops (D, anti-codon, and T loops). Lineage: Bacteria; Pseudomonadati; Bacteroidota; Saprospiria; Saprospirales; Saprospiraceae. The record is from RNAcentral.
GGAGGAUUGGCCGAGUGGCAAGGCACUUCCCUGCUAAGGAUAGGUUUCCUUAUGGAACACAGGUUCGAUUCCUGUAUCCUCCG